This 415-nucleotide ribosomal RNA is filed under the name uncultured bacterium. RNAcentral describes it as "bacterial SSU rRNA". It matches the Rfam family "Bacterial small subunit ribosomal RNA", at positions 28 to 433 of the family's 1533-position model. The record is from RNAcentral.
GAUGAACGCUAGCGGCAGGCUUAAUACAUGCAAGUCGAGGGGCAGCAGGUUCCGUAGCAAUACGGAAUGCUGGCGACCGGCAAACGGGUGCGGAACACGUACGCAACCUACCCAAAACUGGGGAAUAGCCCGGGGAAACCCGGAUUAAUACCUCGUAACAUAAUGAAGUGGCAUCACUUUAUUAUUAUAGCUCCGGCGGUUUUGGAUGGGCGUGCGCCUGAUUAGGUAGUUGGUGAGGUAACGGCNCACCAAGCCUGCGAUCAGUAACUGGUGUGAGAGCACGACCAGUCACACGGGCACUGAGACACGGGCCCGACUCCUACGGGAGGCAGCAGUAAGGAAUAUUGGUCAAUGGACGCAAGUCUGAACCAGCCAUGCCGCGUGAAGGAUGAAGGUCCUCUGGAUUGUAAACUUC